ACUGGUUUUCUGGAUUUGCUC
This 21-nucleotide non-coding RNA is filed under the name Arabidopsis thaliana (thale cress). The record is from RNAcentral. Lineage: Eukaryota; Viridiplantae; Streptophyta; Magnoliopsida; Brassicales; Brassicaceae.